UGGUAGUGACGGGCAGGCGGCGGGGGGAAGACGGAGGGGGCAAGCGUUGGUUGGAAGUGUUGGGGGUAGAGGGCGCGUAGGCGGUUGGUUUCGUCUGUCGUGAAAGCCCACGGCUUAACCGUGGGGCUGCGGUGGAUACGGGCAGACGAGAGGCAGGUAGGGGAGAACGGAAUUCCCGGUGUAGCGGUGAAAUGCGCAGAUAUCGGGAGGAACACCGGUGGCGAAGGCGGUUCUCUGGGCCUGUACUGACGCUGAGGAGCGAAAGCGUGGGGAGCGAACAGGAUUAGAUACCCCUUAGUC
Molecule: ribosomal RNA, 300 nt
Filed under: uncultured Desulfurococcus sp.
Lineage: Archaea; Thermoproteati; Thermoproteota; Thermoprotei; Desulfurococcales; Desulfurococcaceae
Description: bacterial SSU rRNA
Rfam family: Bacterial small subunit ribosomal RNA
Source: RNAcentral